This 486-nucleotide ribosomal RNA is filed under the name uncultured bacterium. RNAcentral describes it as "bacterial SSU rRNA". It matches the Rfam family "Bacterial small subunit ribosomal RNA", at positions 21 to 507 of the family's 1533-position model. The record is from RNAcentral.
GGCUCAGGAUGAACGCUGGCGGCGUGCUUAACACAUGCAAGUCGAACGAGCUUUAUUACUACGAUCCCUUCGGGGUGACGGUUUUAAAGCGAGUGGCGGACGGGUGAGUAACGCGUGGAUAACCUGCCAUAUACUGGGGGAUAACAGCUGGAAACAGCUGCUAAUACCGCAUAAAACUGUAGAGUCGCAUGACUUUAUAGCCAAAGCUCCGGCGGUGUAUGAUGGAUCCGCGUCUGAUUAGGCAGUUGGCGGGGUAACGGCCCACCAAACCGACGAUCAGUAGCCGACCUGAGAGGGUGACCGGCCACAUUGGGACUGAGACACGGCCCAGACUCCUACGGGAGGCAGCAGUGGGGAAUAUUGCACAAUGGAGGAAACUCUGAUGCAGCGACGCCGCGUGAGCGAUGAAGUAUUUCGGUAUGUAAAGCUCUAUCAGCAGGGAAGAUAAUGACGGUACCUGACUAAGAAGCUCCGGCUAAAUACGUG